CAGGUAAAAGACGGUAGUUACCGCCUACGGCGGCACAAGUAGAAGGCCUUCGGUGCCUUGGCGGGGAGGACGCAAUAUUUUGCCUGGGGGCUCGGGCGAAUCAGGUGGUGGUGGAGAGAGGGAGGGAGUGACUUGGAGGACAUCGUCGUCUUUCUGGUCUCCACCAGCAGAAGAAGAAGAGGCCGUUGGUACCAGCGGCGGUGACGGCGCAACUAAGAAUUCGGUGGUGUCGGAAGGGUGAGACAAGAGAGGUGGUCGUCUGAGGACCUCGAGAGUCCUUAGGCAAAGGGAAUAGUUAAGGUGGCCUCUACCGGGCACCCGUUUUGUGGGUUAAACGGAGGCGGCCUCGGGAAGCCGGCUCGAGCGGCGACCGCUGAGGGAGGUGAGGCCGCUGGUUCCUCCCAUGGGGGCACAAGAGGAGCUUGAGGACUCAAGCACCUACCGGAGCUAAAAGGUUUGCCUCGACGGUUAGCGGCCGCUCGUAGUGGCCUCACGGUGGAGACAAGCCGGCGUCCUCUGCCGUGCGCGCACCUGACCAGUUUGGACUGGUCACCCGGUCCCCCGGGUGAUAGUCACUGGGUCGCACCACGGUCGAGUAAAAUUCACCUCUACAAAAGGACUUUCAUGCAGAGGAGGAGGCCUUUCGCAUAAGGUCCUUUCUGCGGAAGCUGCAGCGUUGGGAGGGUGCGUCGGUUUGAUGACCCGAGCCGGGUCAUCGCGAUCCGCCGAUAUGACACGGGUCCCGCGCAAAGACAAGUCGGGUAGUGUCUUUACCUCCCCUCUAUAUUAAAGGUUUCAAAACCUCACGUGGAUUAGAAAGACGUACGAGUUCUAGUACUGAGUCUCCGCUCUUUAUACUUCUGUGGGGCGUUGGAUCCUAAGCCUCUAUCGUCGGUACACUCUAUCCUGAAUAGGUCCAGUCGACAAGGGCACCCUUACCUCAGGGUAGUUGUAACCUCUAGCUGCUCAGCGAAGACAGUAGGUGGUGAUCUCUAGGAACAAUAUAAGUAACCUGGAAACACCAGAACAUAGGUUAAAGAACAUUAACGAACCUUAAGAUAUAGUUCCUUUACAGGUGGUCGUUGUCAUUAGGACCCCGACCACUACUGUGUUCCCAGCAACAGCCACAGUUUUGGCCACCUAGAGCCCAUGCCCCAGGGCUUACACGCAGAUUCCACCUACCAUUGUCCUCCGCCCCCUGUGCUACAAAUGGGACCAAGCCCGGGAGAGCUACCUCCAUUAUGGGAUGAAGGACGAACUAACUAGAACUAAUAUACUCAUAAUUUCUCAACUAGAUGGUACUCUAGCAUCUCCGAUUUGGGAUCUUCGAUCGGAUACCAUACUAACAACAACCAGGAUGCCUGAUUUGGGAGGCCAAAUAUAUCUGUGGCCUCCUCCGAUCCCAAUGUGUCUCAGCCAAUGUUCCCUCCUCUAGAUGUAUAGACAUAACGGUUCGAACGGAAGGUGCGGUUCCUCUCAGGGUAGGCCUGUGCCCAGCUUCAGAAGUUAGAACAUAGAAGUAUCAGGUCGUCAGGCCGAUUUCAUAUAUCAGGCCGACAGGCUCCUGGGGGAUUAGGUCCUGAGGGAGUCAUCGGGGACUUGGUCAGAAGUUACUGCUACUCAGGCCGCGCGUCUAACAGAAGCCGUAACGUUCCGCCCAAGAAGGAGGCUUAUGAGGUAUCUUCUAAAACUUGUGUUCCUAUCACAGGCCGAGACGUUUUGUUUAAGGUGUAUGGUAGCAUCUCUCUUAUUAUAAAGGUGUUUAGAUUAGACGACUGUUGAAAAAUAUUGCGCUGUAGUGUGGUACCGGACCAUUAAUAGGCUUGGCAAAGAGGGUCGGACGGUGACGUGCAAAGCGCUCCGCCAAAAUAACCGUGCAGAACAGCUUCGUCUCUAGCACAGGGGGAAUAAUGCCCUAAGAGUAGUUAUGCCCACACCCAUUGGGUUAGCACGGGCAACCAUACUGAGGAGCUAAAAUCCGUUCAAGGUUUGCCUGUGAGCCUCCUGCGAACUAUAAGUGGGAGAAAUAUUUCUCCAGUUCCGGACAGGAAAAGAAGAGCGUGAGUUAGCUUGGGAAGGGGGUGGAACUCAAGGUUGUGGGUUCCGAGUCCUAUACGUGAAACCUGGAGUUUAGUACAGGCCUAGGUUGGAAGUACCAGCCACCUACGGGAGGAGACAGUGUCUCCUCCUGUAGUUCUUCGAUUCUUUUCGGUCCAUAGACUGGCGGCUUUAGAGUGUGUCCGAUGGACGAGCUCCCGUCCAGUAAGGGUGAGGGCUUGAGCCGCUCUCGCAGCAUAAGCAGAGGGUGAAGGAGGCUCCCGAUCCGGAAUCAGAUCUAGGGAAACAAUCCCCCGAGUACAAAAUAAUGCCCGACCUAAAGGUACUGGACCGGGGCCUAAGGUAGGAAGUGUAGAGCAGCAAGUAGCAGCACACACUCCGGAAGGAGGUGCAGUGGGGUGUGAAGCCGAAUACCGAGUUCUGAAAAUUACACCUCGGCUUCUACUAAUUACCCGCUGUGCGUCUUACGCCUCCACGGUAUUACUCGUUUUCGCGGCUACAAGGUACCGGUUUCCCAAGGAAGGGCCUCCACAGGCCGAAUACCGUUGCCCUCACCAAAAUGUAGUGUCGAGGGGCGCCAUGAUUCACCCAUCGGCGGGGACGGAAGGCGAGCCCAAGGGGCGGUAUU
Molecule: ribosomal RNA, 2686 nt
Filed under: Triticum aestivum (bread wheat)
Lineage: Eukaryota; Viridiplantae; Streptophyta; Magnoliopsida; Poales; Poaceae
Description: partial small subunit ribosomal RNA
Source: RNAcentral